CAGUCGCCACGGUAAUACGUAGGGUGCGAGCGUUAAUCGGAAUUACUGGGCGUAAAGCGUGCGCAGGCGGUUAUAUAAGACAGAUGUGAAAUCCCCGGGCUCAACCUGGGACCUGCAUUUGUGACUGUAUAGCUAGAGUACGGUAGAGGGGGAUGGAAUUCCGCGUGUAGCAGUGAAAUGCGUAGAUAUGCGGAGGAACACCGAUGGCGAAGGCAAUCCCCUGGACCUGUACUGACGCUCAUGCACGAAAGCGUGGGGAGCAAACAGGAUUAGAGACCCCCGUAGUCCCUGUCUCUUAUAU
Molecule: ribosomal RNA, 301 nt
Filed under: uncultured bacterium
Lineage: Bacteria
Description: partial 16S ribosomal RNA
Rfam family: Bacterial small subunit ribosomal RNA
Source: RNAcentral